This 60-nucleotide transfer RNA is filed under the name Causus defilippii (snouted night adder). RNAcentral's name for it is "tRNA-Gly". Lineage: Eukaryota; Metazoa; Chordata; Lepidosauria; Squamata; Viperidae. The record is from RNAcentral.
ACUUCUUUAGUAUAUCAGUAUCAGUGCCUUCCAAGCACUGGGUCCCACAGGGAAGGAGUA